This 400-nucleotide ribosomal RNA is filed under the name uncultured bacterium. RNAcentral describes it as "bacterial SSU rRNA". It matches the Rfam family "Bacterial small subunit ribosomal RNA", at positions 359 to 776 of the family's 1533-position model. The record is from RNAcentral.
GAAUAUUGGACAAUGGGCGAAAGCCUGAUCCAGCAAUGCCGCGUGAGUGAUGAAGGCCUUAGGGUUGUAAAGCUCUUUUACCCGGGAUGAUAAUGACAGUACCGGGAGAAUAAGCCCCGGCUAACUCCGUGCCAGCAGCCGCGGUAAUACGGAGGGGGCUAGCGUUGUUCGGAAUUACUGGGCGUAAAGCGCACGUAGGCGGCGAUUUAAGUCAGAGGUGAAAGCCCGGGGCUCAACCCCGGAAUAGCCUUUGAGACUGGAUUGCUUGAACAUCGGAGAGGUGAGUGGAAUUCCGAGUGUAGAGGUGAAAUUCGUAGAUAUUCGGAAGAACACCAGUGGCGAAGGCGGCUCACUGGACGAUUGUUGACGCUGAGGUGCGAAAGCGUGGGGAGCAAACAGG